GGAGUUGGUUGGCUGCUGUGAGGACAAGGAGGAGUCAGUGCCUGGAGGAGAUGCCUGCAAGAAACAUCAAGGAGAGAGCAACUAUAUUUGUUUACUGAAGCUAUCCUGAAUGUAGAAGGCAAUUAACCUUUUAUGAAGGUUGAAGCAGACUAUUACAUAAACCCAGAAGUGGCAGACGUUCCAUCCCGGGCAACACUGAAGGAGUCAGACAGGGCACUGAGCACCCUAGCGUGGUUGAAGAUGUCCUGCUCAUUACAGGGAUGUUGCCUAGAUGAGAAUUAAAGGUCCCUUGCAACCCAGAGCACACUCCUAGCUUGUAUGGAAAACUCUCUGUACCUGCAAUGUACUUUGAGAGCCCAAUGAAAGAUUAAUCUCCUGGAAGGACUAUCAGAAGCUUUUACUUUGGUCUUGCAGAGGACAACUCCUCUUAUGAAACAGCAAUAUUGUUAAUAAACCUCAGAAAGUGAGAGCAGUAAAUAAACCACACAAAUCUGCAUGGUGUGAUAUCACAGCCCUUACAUCCCUGUUCUCCAAAGAGUCAGUGUUUCAGGGUCCAUGAUCCAGGGUGUGUUUGCUCAUCCCCUCCUGGACAGGAACUAGAAUGUUAGCAAUGCAAAAAUGUUUCUCUUUCUCCUCCUGAACCACUGCUUUUCCCCUUCCUCCCUCUGAAUCGCCACUUUGUGUCACAGAUAUCUUAUAAGACUUUUCUCCUCUCUGAAAAAUGCUAUGUUUGCACAAAAAAAAAAAAAAAAAAGCUUUAAGGGUGGGUGACACAGACCCAUCUUUGUGACUUCUGUUUCAUAGACCUCUCUGGAGAUCUUUGGAUGUAUCUAAAAUUACUUGAAAGUAACUUAGAGGAGAUUAACAUGAAUUAACAUGAUUUUACAAUUCCUCCUUAAAAGUGGUAAAUAACAUCCAAAGAAACAGGUUUUCAUGUGUCUUAAACCCACCAGUGUGUAUUGGGUGUCAGCUGGGACUGUGGGCUGGCCUCUCUGAGGACUCAGUGCAAGGCACAGCUGAGCCCAUCAGCCAAUGUGGGCAAAAUCUUUAAGGGGAAAAAAAUUUGAGACAUGGAAGAAUCAGGAGUGAAGUUGAGCCUAGGAAGGAAGAGGGUUGGUGAGGCUGGUUUUGUUUUUUAUUAGUCACCAUCCUACUUUGUUAUUAGUUUGUAAUAAAAUUAAAUUAAUUUCCUCA
Zonotrichia leucophrys gambelii is the source of this 1194-nucleotide long non-coding RNA. RefSeq lists it as uncharacterized. The record is from RefSeq and is a predicted model, not a curated record. NCBI's taxonomy places the organism in Eukaryota, Metazoa, Chordata, Aves, Passeriformes, Passerellidae. The transcript is spliced from 2 exons.